This is a long non-coding RNA of Epinephelus moara (kelp grouper), 1295 nucleotides long. RefSeq lists it as uncharacterized. The transcript is spliced from 2 exons. The record is from RefSeq and is a predicted model, not a curated record. NCBI's taxonomy places the organism in Eukaryota, Metazoa, Chordata, Actinopteri, Perciformes, Serranidae.
CUGGCUGCUGCAGUUGGCACGUCCUGUCUCAGACUGGAAAAAAGAAACAAUUACAUAGAGAACACAGAGCCUGGAUGAGAAACACAGGUCAGGGGAGCUUUAGACAUUCACAGGGGCACCCAGAGGAUGCCAGUCUAUAGUGCCAUGUCCCCUGCAUACUCGUCUGCUGUGCUAUUUGGAAGGUAGUUUAGGAAAGGGGCCCACGUCUUAUCGAAAGCUCUCUCUUUCCCCUUUAAAACUGAGCUCAAGCGCUCCAUCUGCAAACUGUCUCAGAUUCUGGAUUGGACCGACGUCUGGACUCUUCAGCUCUGUGACAUUGUUUGUUUCCUGUGCAGAUUUGGCUUUUUGUUCUCUUAAGCUGCGGUUCAUUUGCAGACUGCUGCAGGAUUUCCUCCAGGAUUUCUCUGUUUCACUGAAUCUGACCCUCAACCUUCACCAUGCUUCAUAAGGCCUGCUGCAGAGAAACAUCACCACAGUGGGGCUUCAUGACGGAGGAACAUUUACUCAAACCUGUCCUCCCUCCGUGGACGAAUGGGAAUGUGACCCUCAACUGCUGAUAACAUGUGAACUGUGUUGUGCUGCCUCUGGCGACCUGUCUGCUCAGGAAUUUGUCGUUUUUUUCCCCUCUUCUUUUAUAGUUUUGUGUUUUAUCAAAACAAAACUAUAAAAAUAAAGUUGAAUGAUCUCCACCUUUACUGCUGCAACAUUAAAGUAAUGAACAUAUUAUUGCAUCAAUAAAUAUAAUCCAAUAACCUGCUUUUGUUGGUACAAUCCAGGCUGGAAUCGCAGCAGUGACUCGCUUAAAAAACGACUGGUUUUGUUGUUUGUUGGUCAAACAAGAAAACCAGCUGUUUUUUUUUUUUUACCAAAUUUGAGGAAAUUCCCUCAAGGCCUUUUUGAGAUAUCAUGUUCACAAGAAUGAGAUGGAUGCAAGGUCAUAGUGUCCUUGACCUUUGGCCCCCAAAGUCUAAUGAAUCCAUUGCUGAGUCCAAGUGGAAUUUUGAAAGAAUUCCCUCGUGGUGUUCUUGAGCUAUCAGGUUAGCCGUAAAAUGUAACAUGUUAUGGAUUUUAACAGUGAUUAAAAGACACGUGAUGAACGAAACAGGCAGAGAGACCAGUGUGGAAAUAUAUGUACACAUUUUUAUUCAGGACAGAGACACAGCCUCGGGGUGAAGCAGUGACUGGCUGCAGCCGUUUAUACAAACAACACUGACAUCACUCUUUAGCACACGUACAGAACAUGUCGACCUGCAGGAACAUUCAGAGCCAAAUAUCUGUGGAAGUAAAAGGUGUAC